This 1779-nucleotide unclassified non-coding RNA is filed under the name Hevea brasiliensis (rubber tree). The record is from RNAcentral. Lineage: Eukaryota; Viridiplantae; Streptophyta; Magnoliopsida; Malpighiales; Euphorbiaceae.
UUUUUUUUUUUUUUUUUUUAUUUAGGCACCAAUUGUGAUUACCCUUUUUGCACAUUUAAUGAAAUGAUCUUCUUUCUAAACUUAUACCAAAAGCACAUUUUCAGCAGCAUUUGAGACAAGUUCCAAACAUUCAAGAAUUGCAGAAAGGACAUAGAAAUUCACCUUUUUAGCAGCAUGAAUAGUAGCAUGAACAGUAGCAAAAAUCUGCAGACUGUAAAAACUAACAGCAAUUCAAACAAAAAUAUGUAAAUUCCUAACAGACUACAAAAGUAUAUAUACACUAAAAGGUAAAACUUAACAAACACUAUUUUUGCACUUCAAUAAAGCUCACAUCAAUCCUAAAUAUCAAAUUUGAUCCUCAUUCAAGUUGCAUUUUCACAGAAUUUACACAAGACACAAAAUUAAACAUGUGCUAUCAAGUAGAUUGCAAUAUCAGCAAUUUAGCACAAGUUUAAAGGUGUUACUGUUCACAGGUACUGCAUAAAGUGCAGUAUUUUCCUUUAUACUUGCUCUCUUACAAUUCUUUGUUUUUGCUACAAGUGUUAAUUUGCCGCAUCUUCAUAAAUGACCUACAAAAGAUAAACAGAUGUCACUUUUGAGUUUAAUGAGGGUGAAAACUGAAAAUGAAAUGAAAUGGAAAAUUAAUAAACUAUAAAAGGAUACGCUUGGGUUGCCUCCCAAGAAGCGCUUGUUUAAAGUCUUAAGCUUGACCUUCGACUCCAAAUCAUCUAAGUAUCCCUGAUUGGAGAACCAAGCCAUGAAACCUCUACAACCUUUUGUGUGGGUUCUCCAAUAAUAUAAUGCUUUAAUCUCUGCCCAUUAACUUUGAAAGUUCCUGAGGUUUCAUUGCCUAUCUCAACAGCUCCAUAGGGAUAUACUUUUAUAACAGUGUAGGGCCCUGACCAUCUUGACUUUAAUUUUCCGGGAAAUAACCUUAAUCUAGAGUUAUAUAGAAGAACAACAUCCCCUUCCUGAAAUUCUUUCCUCCUAAUAUGCUUAUCAUGCCAUCUCUUAGUUCUUUUCUUGUAAAGCUUGGCAUUUUCAUAAGCAUCCAAUCUAAGCUCCUCAAGGUCAUUUAGUUGCAACAUUCUUUUUUCUCCUGCAGUUUUCAAGUCAAAAUUCAGUGUCCUUAUAACCCAAUAUGCUCUAUGCUCUAACUCCAGAGGUAAAUGACAAGCUUUCCCAUAAACCAAUCUAAAUGGGGUGGUGCCAAUAGGAGUUUUAAAAGCUGUUCUAUAGGCCCAAAGAGCAUCAUCUAACUUUAGUGACCAAUCUUUCCUUGAACUAUUCACUGUUUUUUCAAGAAUUCUUUUCAGCUUUCUAUUUGAGAUAUCCACUUGACCACUAGUUUGUGGAUGGUAGGGUGUUGCAACCUUAUGCUUCACUCCAUAUUUUUGUAAUAAUCUUUCAAAUUGAUGGUUGCAAAAAUGAGAACCUCCAUCACUUAUAAUGGCACGUGGAGUUCCAAAUCUUGUGAAAAUGAACUUUUUAAGGAAUUUAAUCUCAACUCUAACAUCAUUAGUUGGAGAUGGUAUAGCUUCAACCCAUUUACUCACAUAAUCUACUCCAACUAAAAUGUAUUUGUGUCCAAAGGAUGGUGGAAAAGGUCCCAUGAAAUCAAUGCCCCACACAUCAAAUAGUUCAACUUCCAAUAUAUUUUGGAGGGGCAUUUCAUCCCUCUUCGAGAUAUUACCCAUCCUUUGACACCUAUCACAUGCAUUUACAACAGUGUUAUCAAAGGCGAGCGAGGUGCCCAGGCGAGGCGCCCCUCUAUCGCCU